GGGAGGCAGCAGUGAGGAAUAUUGGUCAAUGGACGAGAGUCUGAACCAGCCAAGUAGCGUGAGGGAUGACGGCUCUAUGGGUUGUAAACUUCUUUUAUAAGGGAAUAAAAUAAGGGACGUGUCCUUUUUUGUAUGUACCUUAUGAAUAAGCAUCGGCUAACUCCGUGCCAGCAGCCGCGGUAAUACGGAGGAUCCAAGCGUUAUCCGGAUUUAUUGGGUUUAAAGGGAGCGUAGGCGGAUUUAUAAGUCAGUGGUGAAAGUUUACGGCUCAACCGUAAAAUUGCCGUUGAUACUGUAUGUCUUGAGUGUGGGAGAGGUGGGCGGAAUUCGUGGUGUAGCGGUGAAAUGCUUAGAUAUCACGAAGAACUCCGAUUGCGAAGGCAGCUCACUGGGCUACAACUGACACUGAGGCACGA
RNAcentral lists this ribosomal RNA (416 nucleotides) under uncultured bacterium. RNAcentral's name for it is "bacterial SSU rRNA". It matches the Rfam family "Bacterial small subunit ribosomal RNA", at positions 343 to 756 of the family's 1533-position model. The record is from RNAcentral.